GAUGAACGCUAGCGACAGGCUUAACACAUGCAAGUCGAGGGGCAGCGAGGGCGUAGCAAUACGCCUGUCGGCGACCGGCGCACUGGUGAGUAACACGUAUGCGACCUGCCCCCUACAGGGGUAUAACCCGUAGAAAUGCGGACUAAUCCCCCCAUAGUCCUGGGUGCUGCAUGGCAUUCAGGGGAAAGGGUUUCCGGUAGGGGAUGGGCAUGCGGCGCAUUAGCUAGUUGGCGGGGCAACGGCCCACCAAGGCGACGAUGCGUAGGGGUUCUGAGAGGAAGGUCCCCCACACUGGUACUGAGACACGGUCCAAACUCCUACGGGAGGCAGCAGUGAGGAAUAUUGGUCAAUGGGCGAGAGCCUGAACCAGCCAAGUAGCGUGCAGGACGACGGCCCUAUGGGUUGUAAACCUCUUUUGUCGGGGAGUAACGUGCGGGACGCGUCCCGUAUUGAGAGUACCCGAAGAAAAAGCAUCGGCUAACUCCGUG
Molecule: ribosomal RNA, 488 nt
Filed under: uncultured bacterium
Lineage: Bacteria
Description: bacterial SSU rRNA
Rfam family: Bacterial small subunit ribosomal RNA
Source: RNAcentral